This 465-nucleotide ribosomal RNA is filed under the name uncultured bacterium. RNAcentral describes it as "partial 16S ribosomal RNA". It matches the Rfam family "Bacterial small subunit ribosomal RNA", at positions 338 to 795 of the family's 1533-position model. The record is from RNAcentral.
CCUACGGGUGGCAGCAGUAGGGAAUCUUCCACAAUGGGCGAAAGCCUGAUGCAGCAACGCCGCGUGGGUGAAGAAGGUCUUCGGAUCGUAAAACCCUGUUGUUAGAGAAGAAAGUGCGUGAGAGUAACUGUUCACGUUUCGACGGUAUCUAACCAGAAAGCCACGGCUAACUACGUGCCAGCAGCCGCGGUAAUACGUAGGUGGCAAGCGUUAUCCGGAUUUAUUGGGCGUAAAGGGAACGCAGGCGGUCUUUUAAGUCUGAUGUGAAAGCCUUGGGCUUAACCGGAGUAGUGCAUUGGAAACUGGGAGACUUGAGUGCAGAAGAGGAGAGUGGAACUCCAUGUGUAGCGGUGAAAUGCGUAGAUAUAUGGAAGAACACCAGUGGCGAAAGCGGCUCUCUGGUCUGUAACUGACGCUGAGGUUCGAAAGCGUGGGUAGCAAACAGGAUUAGAUACCCUGGUAGUC